UACGGGGGGGGCAAGCGUUGUUCGGAAUUACUGGGCGUAAAGGGUUCGUAGGUGGCCUGCUAAGUCAAACGUGAAAUCCCUCAGCUUAACUGGGGAACUGCGUCUGAGACUGGUGGGCUUGAGUGCAGGAGAGGAACGCGGAAUUCCAGGUGUAGCGGUGAAAUGCGUAGAUAUCUGGAGGAACACCGGUGGCGGAGGCGGCGUUCUGGACUGCUACUGACACUGAGGAACGAAAGCCAGGGGAGCAAACGGG
This 253-nucleotide ribosomal RNA is filed under the name uncultured bacterium. Its description in RNAcentral is "partial 16S ribosomal RNA". It matches the Rfam family "Bacterial small subunit ribosomal RNA", at positions 524 to 776 of the family's 1533-position model. The record is from RNAcentral.